This 46-nucleotide transfer RNA is filed under the name Anthracoceros albirostris (Oriental pied-hornbill). Its description in RNAcentral is "partial tRNA-Glu". The record is from RNAcentral. Lineage: Eukaryota; Metazoa; Chordata; Aves; Bucerotiformes; Bucerotidae.
UUCUUGUAGUUAAGGUUUGUAUAACGACAGCUUUUCGGGCUGUAAG